GGUCCCAUAGCUCAGUGGGAGAGCGCUCGCCUCACACGCGAGAGGUCGCUGGUUCGAACCCAGCUGGGACCA
RNAcentral lists this transfer RNA (72 nucleotides) under Nocardia veterana. RNAcentral describes it as "tRNA-Val". It matches the Rfam family "tRNA". From Rfam's summary of the family: Transfer RNA (tRNA) molecules are approximately 80 nucleotides in length. Their secondary structure includes four short double-helical elements and three loops (D, anti-codon, and T loops). Lineage: Bacteria; Bacillati; Actinomycetota; Actinomycetes; Mycobacteriales; Nocardiaceae. The record is from RNAcentral.